GUUGUUGAAUCUGUUGUAAUUACUUUUAUAUUAAUAAUGUUGGUUUUCCAACUACGACGAUAAACGAAUUUCGAAAUAACCAUUGCGGACGUGGGGGCAGUACCCACCACCUCCACCAUUACAACUUAUGGGGGUGAACUAGAUUCGACGGGUGACUAAAGGUUAUUCUUUCGUUCGGGAUUGUUCCACCGUAACGGGCUAAUUUAUAAUUGCUAACGAAAGUUAUGCACUUGCUGCCUAAUUAACAUAGUUAAUUAAGCACGGGGUUCGGGGCACCUGGCAACAGAACGCCCCUUCC
RNAcentral lists this transfer-messenger RNA (298 nucleotides) under Candidatus Pelagibacter sp. It matches the Rfam family "Alphaproteobacteria transfer-messenger RNA". Rfam says of the family: Bacterial tmRNA, also known as 10Sa RNA or SsrA, is named for its dual tRNA and mRNA-like properties. Its role is to liberate the mRNA from a stalled ribosome. To accomplish this part of the tmRNA is used as a reading frame that ends in a translation stop signal. Lineage: Bacteria; Pseudomonadati; Pseudomonadota; Alphaproteobacteria; Candidatus Pelagibacterales; Candidatus Pelagibacteraceae. The record is from RNAcentral.